UACAGGGGGCGCAAACGUUGCUCGGAAUCAUUGGGCGUAAAGCGCACGUAGGCGGUUCGUUAUGUCGGAUGUGAAAGCCCUUGGCUUAACCGAGGAAGUGCAUCCGAAACUGGCGAGCUAGAGUACUAAAGAGGAUCGCGGAAUUCCCGGUGUAGAGGUGAAAUUCGUAGAUAUCGGGAGGAACACCGGUGGCGAAGGCGGCGAUCUGGGUAGAUACUGACGCUCAGACACGACAGCAUGGGGAGCGAACGGG
Molecule: ribosomal RNA, 253 nt
Filed under: uncultured bacterium
Lineage: Bacteria
Description: partial 16S ribosomal RNA
Rfam family: Bacterial small subunit ribosomal RNA
Source: RNAcentral